RNAcentral lists this unclassified non-coding RNA (347 nucleotides) under Hevea brasiliensis (rubber tree). The record is from RNAcentral. Lineage: Eukaryota; Viridiplantae; Streptophyta; Magnoliopsida; Malpighiales; Euphorbiaceae.
CUGUACGCCGAAAUUCCGCGACCACUAGGUUUUGCGCGUUGCCUCGUCCCGACAGGAUAUCGAUGCGACGCUAUAUGAUGGCUUGAACGAAUGGACCGGACGUUGGCACCUCAACGAAACCGCUUGCCAUUCCACUGCAUCUGAUAGCGGCAAAUUGAACCGCCUCGGCUACAAUCCACGGCUAUUGACGGCACACCUGAGUCGAUCGGCAUAUCGAUUUCGAAUACAUCUCCUCGCCAAACCUCGCGAUGCACGCCUCCUCUGGAGACGAAGACGCGAUGAAGACAACCCUUCGGCGAACAAAGAGCUUCUCGAUUGGAACACCCGAACUGUUCGAAGUGGAUUGC